This 443-nucleotide ribosomal RNA is filed under the name uncultured bacterium. RNAcentral describes it as "partial 16S ribosomal RNA". It matches the Rfam family "Bacterial small subunit ribosomal RNA", at positions 338 to 795 of the family's 1533-position model. The record is from RNAcentral.
CCUACGGGUGGCAGCAGUGGGGAAUAUUGGGCAAUGGGCGCAAGCCUGACCCAGCAACGCCGCGUGAAGGAAGAAGGCUUUCGGGUUGUAAACUUCUUUUCUCAGGGACGAAGCAAGUGACGGUACCUGAGGAAUAAGCCACGGCUAACUACGUGCCAGCAGCCGCGGUAAUACGUAGGUGGCAAGCGGUAUCCGGAUUUACUGGGUGUAAAGGGCGGGUAGGCGGGACUGCAAGUCAGAUGUGAAAACCACGGGCUCAACCUGUGGCCUGCAUUUGAAACUGUAGUUCGUGAGUGAUGGAGAGGCAGGCGGAAUUCGGUGUGUAGCGGUGAAAUGCGUAGAUAUACGGAGGAACACCAGUGGCGAAGGCGGCCUGCUGGACAUUAACUGACGCUGAGGCGCGAAAGCGUGGGGAGCAAACAGGAUUAGAUACCCCGGUAGUC